CCUGUCCCUGUUCUCUCCCCUUGCCAGCAAAAAACACCCACCCUCCGAGCCCAGAUGCCCACUCCGGCAGCUGGAUCAGGAUCGGCGUCGUAGCUGGGGUUGAAAUCGUGUUGCUGUUAUCGAUUUACCUCGUGUUCUACUGCAAAUCCAAAGGUCACUGACUGGCCCCACGUGGCCAGGCUGGGCUGAGAUUUCAGCCACAGCCGGGCCGUGCCACCAGGACUGUCCCUACACUGUGAGCAGCCACGUGGCCUCGACCAACCUGUGCCCUGCACACAGGGCAUCCCAGUGCAUCCCAGUGCACCCAGAUGUCUCUGGUGCCAUUGGAACCCACCUUGGACAUGUGCCGAACCGUUCGGUGUGAUGACACCCUCCUGUCCCACAGAUGAGCUGGUUCUGCAGGUGCCAGCACGGACACUGCUGGAGGGGGACACGGUGACACUGUACUGCCAGGGCCGGUGGAACAGCACAGUCACCAAGGUGCAAUUUUACUGGGAUGAGAAUAAUCUGACGGGGUCCAUCAAUGUGACUGAGCUGUCCCUGUCCCCUCUGCAGCUGAACCACAGUGGCUGCUACAGUUGCAGGGACUUGGUGGAAUCCUUUAUUUCACGUUCAGCAGCAGUGACAGUGACAAUGCAUGGUGAGCAUCCCCUUCAGCUGGAACUCCAAUCUCCUGAUGCUCCAAACCACUUCCCAGUGGACUCAGAGGCACAGUCCUCACCUCCCCUCUCCUUCCCUGAGCUCUUCACAGUGCCAGUGCGGGAGGCUCCCCCCAAGCUCACCAUGGUGUCUGCCCAUGCCUCUCAUCUGCCUCAGCACCCCCAGCCACAUGUGGCCCCAAGCCCCCAUCCUGCACAUGUUCUACCGGGACGGGCAGGUGGUGGGGGGCCCACAGAGGUUCCCGCAGCUGCUGGUGCCCGCCAUGAGGGUCUCCCACUCGGGAAAUUACAGCUGCGAGGUGCGCUCUGAGGUGGGUGCUGUGUGGAAGAGCAGCGCCCGGCUCUGCGUCACGGUGUGCAGUGAGUGUGGGGAUGGGCAUGGGGAGCCCCCACAGCCUCCUUGGGUCUCCCGCCUGGGCACCUCCAUGUCCCCCUGACACCUUUCUUCUGUCCUUCCAUCACUCUGCUUAUCCCCUUGCCCCUCUGUGGUGUGACCCCAACCGUGACAUCCCCCAUCAUACCCAUCCCCCCCAUCUAUAUUCCCCCACACCAGCUGCCAGCCUCUCCCUGUGGCCUCAGCCCUGUCUGUGCCCUGCAGUGCCUGUGGCAAAUGCCACCAUCACCCCCGGUCCCCUCUCACACCAGGUGUGUGCGGGUGACCCCGUGACCCUGCGCUGCUCGGUGCAGGUGGGCUCAGCCACUGUCACCUUCACCUGGCUGCACAACGGGCAGGAGGUGUUCCGGGGUCCCAUCCUGGUGCUUAGGGACAUCGAUGUGGGACAUUCGGGCACCUACCAGUGCGUGGCCACCAACCAGCUGGGACAGGACGGGCACCGUGUGUUCUGGGCACUCAACCCAGAGCUGGCACUCGGGGUGUUAUCUGGCUCAGCCUGGGUCACAGGUGGGGUCACACAGGGUUGCCGGACUGUUCAGGUCCCCCUGUGGUUCAGGGUGAUCCCAGUGUGUCCUCUGUCCCCAGCAGUGGCUGUCAAUGUAGGCAGGACCCUCCAUUUCCUGGUCCUGCUCCUGGCUGUCAUCAAGGGCUGUCACUGGUGGCAUUGCCAGGGUGGGUGACACUGGGGGGGGAUGGGGGUCCUGGAGUGAGCGGAAGCCCCCAGAGUGGGAGCAGAGAUCAGGGAUCUGCUGGAAAUUGGGGUGCAGUGGGGAUUUGGGGGUCCCAGGAGUGGUUGGAAAUGCCGAGGUCCCUGGAAGUUUCAGGGGUCCCAGGGUCCCCUCAGUCACUCCUUCCCCUUUUCCUUGCUUCAACCAGGAAGACCCAGGACAGAUGAGUGAGGGGUUCUGGCUGGAACUCCCCUUUCCCCCUCCCCAGACACCACCCAGACCCCCUCUUUAUCCCCACAGGACCCCAGUGGAGGAGGGGGCAGUGGUGGACCCCCAUGUCAUGGGCAUCAAGUGGGCAGAGAGAGAAUUUGGGGGGGGACAGGGACACGUCACCCACGGGUGUCACCCCCCCACCCAGGUCCCCAUAACCGGUGUCAUUCUCAGGUCCCCAGUGGAUGUCCCCCAGCCCUGCCCCACCUCAGGAUCCACAAGUGACCAAUGUGGAGCUGUCGGCACCCUACAAGGGACAGUGGGACUCCCGUGACUACGAUGGCAUGCUGUGACAUUGGGGACACUGGAGGGCAUUGAUUCCCCUCAGGACUCUCUUCUUCCACUUCACAGCCCCCCACAGGGCUCCUCCUUCCUUCUCCCAGUGCUGAGGGAGCACAUGACAUUUUACCCUCUUAUUGUACCCAAAAUGCAGCUUUUUGAUUAAACUGUAUAAGAAACAA
Passer domesticus (house sparrow) is the source of this 2452-nucleotide RNA transcript. It is a transcript of the gene named low affinity immunoglobulin gamma Fc region receptor II-like, with no coding region annotated. Lineage: Eukaryota; Metazoa; Chordata; Aves; Passeriformes; Passeridae. The record is from RefSeq and is a predicted model, not a curated record. The transcript is spliced from 3 exons.